Long non-coding RNA from Dreissena polymorpha, 303 nucleotides. RefSeq lists it as uncharacterized. The transcript is spliced from 3 exons. The record is from RefSeq and is a predicted model, not a curated record. NCBI's taxonomy places the organism in Eukaryota, Metazoa, Mollusca, Bivalvia, Myida, Dreissenidae.
GCUGUAAACUGGGUGAAUGUGGGAUCUACAACUGGAGGUACGCUGUAGACUGGGUGAAUGUGGGAUCUACAACUGGAGGUACGCUGUAGACUGGGUGAAUGUGGGAUCUACAACUGGAGGUACGCUGUAGACUGGGUGAAUGUGGGAUCUACAACUGGAGGUACGCUGUAGACUGGGUGAAUGUGGGAUCUACAACUGGAGGUACGCUGUAGACUGGGUGAAUGUGGGAUCUACAACUGGAGGUACGCUGUAGACUGGGUGAAUGUGGGAUCUACAACUGGAGGUACGCUGUAGACUGGGUGA